ACAUGAAUCCCAAGUUUAUUUAGGCAUUUCAGGGACUUAUUGUGGGUGAUGGAGAUCUCCACAGCACUCUUCUCUUGGUUGGUGGGUAGCUGUUGAAAAAUUCAUAUAAAUAGAGAUGUCAGAUGUAGGUAAAAUAGAGAAAUGUUGAUUUGAUUGUGAACUAAAUCCCACAACUUAUAUUAUCUUUGAUAAGAAAGGUUUCGUUUAGACCAUGAAAAUUGGAUAAAUGAAGCUGAGCAUUAUUUUACUGAAACAAGAAGGCACACAAAGUGAAGGAGAUCGCAUACUUGACUUUAGUUUGUUGUUCCUUUGAUGGGGAACUUGUAUCAUUGUUAAGAGCUUAAAUCCUGUAAAAUAGCAUGGAUCCAUCUGGAUCUUUAUUCAGUCAAAAGUUUAUAUGAUGUGUAGACUAUUCAAGCUUGCCAGCCUUGAGCCUGGAGCCUGCUUGUUGUAGAGUUGUCCUAUGUUCUGUAGAUUUGCUUGAUAUUAUAAACAAUUAUGAUAAAAUUUUUGUAAACAAUUUUGUUCUUUAUUUCUUUCAGUAUCAGAUUCAGUAUUUUCUCCAUCUUAUGGCAGCAUAUAUUUUCAACACAGAGUGAGGGCAGUGUCAUUCCUCCUGUCCACUACCCCAACUUCUACUCCCAACACUACCACAACAAUGAGCGGUCUGGUGUGGUGGCUGAGGAUUCUUUUGAAGAGGACAAUGCUUCUGCUUCAUCUGAGCAGGAGGUUCUGGAAUGUAACUCCCACAGAUGGCAGGGAAACACUGCAUAUCUUCCCUCCCACAACAGCGAUGCACUUAAUGAAUUGGGCCAAGAUAAUUAGUGAAAGCUUUCUGUGUUAAAGAGAUGCAGCUAGUGGGCCAAUAUAUAUACUGAUCGUUCAAUUAAUCCUUUAUGUCAUAAAACUUCUCUGAAAAAAUCUAGUGAAUAAUUUUUCCUCUCUCACUGCACUGUCCUUGAUCUAAAUUACAUAUUAAAACUACACAUGAUAGUGUAAUGAUCAGUAUGCUUGGCUCACAAACCAUAUAUAUAUAUAUAUAUAUAUAUAUAUAUAUAUAUAUAUAUAUAUAUAUAUAUAUAUAUAUAUAUAUAUAUAUAUAUAUAUAUAUAUAUAUAUAUAUAUAUAUAUAUAUAUAUAUAUGCUUGGCUUUGUCUCCAAACUCUCCCCCAUAGAGAGACUGUAUUAACCUGCAGAAAUAAAGCUAUCAUUCAGGGAAACUGGUUUGUUUGCCAAACAAACAUUACAUUGCUGAAUAUUCUGUGGCACCAAAUGCUUUGUCAGGAAUUGUGGCAAUGAUAUUUCAAUCCUUGUCUUUGCAUCCUACAAUUUGUAUGCUGAACAUAAACCUUAUCAACAAG
This is a long non-coding RNA of Scylla paramamosain (green mud crab), 1361 nucleotides long. RefSeq lists it as uncharacterized. The record is from RefSeq and is a predicted model, not a curated record. NCBI's taxonomy places the organism in Eukaryota, Metazoa, Arthropoda, Malacostraca, Decapoda, Portunidae. The transcript is spliced from 2 exons.